CCUACCGAUUGAAUGGUCCGGUGAACACUUUGGAUUUUAGGCGAAUGAACUGUAAAAGGGGAGUUCGUUUGGGAGAAGUCGUGUAAAUCUUAUCAUUUAGAGGAAGGUGAAGUCGUAACAAGGUU
RNAcentral lists this ribosomal RNA (125 nucleotides) under Blastocystis sp. subtype 2. RNAcentral's name for it is "partial 18S ribosomal RNA". It matches the Rfam family "Eukaryotic small subunit ribosomal RNA", at positions 1681 to 1801 of the family's 1831-position model. Lineage: Eukaryota; Bigyra; Opalinata; Blastocystidae. The record is from RNAcentral.